UGGCGGACGGGUGAGUAACACGUGGGUAACCUGCCUCGUAGUGGGGAAUAACUCUCCGAAAGGAGAGCUAAUACCGCAUAACACCCUCGGUGAGAAUCCGAGUGGUAAAAGCUCCGGCGCUACGAGAGGGGCCCGCGGCCGAUUAGCUUGUUGGUGGGGUAAUGGCCUACCAAGGCGACGAUCGGUAGCUGGUCUGAGAGGAUGGUCAGCCACACGGGGACUGAGAUACGGCCCCGACUCCUACGGGAGGCAGCAGCUAAGAAUCUUGCGCAAUGGGCGAAAGCCUGACGCAGCAAUUCCGCGUGGGGGACGAAGGCCCUCGGGUCGUAAACCCCUUUUGCGAGGGAAGAAGUUCUGACGGUACCUCGCGAAUAAGACACGGCUAACUACGUGCCAGCAGCCGCGGUAA
Molecule: ribosomal RNA, 409 nt
Filed under: uncultured bacterium
Lineage: Bacteria
Description: bacterial SSU rRNA
Rfam family: Bacterial small subunit ribosomal RNA
Source: RNAcentral